CACGUAGGCCGCUUUGUAAGUCAGGGGUGAAAUCCCACGGCUCAACCGUGGAACUGCCUUUGAAACUGCAGAGCUUGAAUCCUGGAGAGGGUGGCGGAAUUCCUGGUGUAGGAGUGAAAUCCGUAGAUAUCAGGAGGAACACCGGUGGCGAAGGCGGCCACCUGGACAGGCAUUGACGCUGAGGUGCGAAAGUGUGGGGAGCAAACAG
Molecule: ribosomal RNA, 208 nt
Filed under: uncultured Desulfomicrobium sp.
Lineage: Bacteria; Pseudomonadati; Thermodesulfobacteriota; Desulfovibrionia; Desulfovibrionales; Desulfomicrobiaceae
Description: partial 16S ribosomal RNA
Rfam family: Bacterial small subunit ribosomal RNA
Source: RNAcentral